Molecule: ribosomal RNA, 274 nt
Filed under: uncultured bacterium
Lineage: Bacteria
Description: partial 16S ribosomal RNA
Rfam family: Bacterial small subunit ribosomal RNA
Source: RNAcentral
AUACGAAGGGGGCAAGCGUUGUGCGGAAUAACUGGGCGUAAAGCGCACGUAGGCGGAAUGUUAAGUUAGAGGUGAAAUCCCAGGGCUCAACCCUGGAACGGCCUUUAAUACUGGCAAUCUAGAGACCGAGAGAGGUGAGUGGAAUUCCGAGUGUAGAGGUGAAAUUCGUAGAUAUUCGGAGGAACACCAGUGGCGAAGGCGGCUCACUGGCUCGGUACUGACGCUGAGGUGCGAAAGCGUGGGGAGCAAACAGGAUUAGAUACCCCAGUAGUCC